AUUGAACGCUGGCGGCAUGCUUUACACAUGCAAGUCGAACGGCAGCACGGGUGCUUGCACCUGGUGGCGAGUGGCGAACGGGUGAGUAAUGCAUCGGAACGUGCCCAUGAGUGGGGGAUAGCCCGGCGAAAGCCGGAUUAAUACCGCAUACGCCCUUAGGGGGGAAAGCGGGGGAUCUUCGGGACCUCGCGCUAUUGGAGCGGCCGAUGUCGGAUUAGCUAGUAGGUGAGGUAAAGGCUCACCUAGGCGACGAUCCGUAGCUGGUCUGAGAGGAUGAUCAGCCACACUGGGACUGAGACACGGCCCAGACUCCUACGGGAGGCAGCAGUGGGGAAUUUUGGACAAUGGGCGCAAGCCUGAUCCAGCCAUGCCGCGUGAGUGAAGAAGGCCUCGGUUGUAAGACUCUUCUAGGUGGAAGAAAGUAGACGCUGUUAAUAGAUAGGCGUUGAUGACGGUACCGACCACGAAGAAGACACCGG
Molecule: ribosomal RNA, 479 nt
Filed under: uncultured bacterium
Lineage: Bacteria
Description: bacterial SSU rRNA
Rfam family: Bacterial small subunit ribosomal RNA
Source: RNAcentral